RNAcentral lists this ribosomal RNA (521 nucleotides) under fungal clone UUF-28. RNAcentral's name for it is "SSU rRNA". It matches the Rfam family "Eukaryotic small subunit ribosomal RNA", at positions 213 to 733 of the family's 1831-position model. Lineage: Eukaryota; Fungi. The record is from RNAcentral.
GAUAAAAAACCAAUGUCUCUUCGGGGCUCCUUGGUGAUUCAUAAUAACUUAACGAAUCGCAUGGCCUUGUGCCGGCGAUGGUUCAUUCAAAUUUCUGCCCUAUCAACUUUCGAUGGUAGGAUAGUGGCCUACCAUGGUUUCAACGGGUAACGGGGAAUUAGGGUUCUAUUCCGGAGAGGGAGCCUGAGAAACGGCUACCACAUCCAAGGAAGGCAGCAGGCGCGCAAAUUACCCAAUCCCGACACGGGGAGGUAGUGACAAUAAAUACUGAUACAGGGCUCUUUUGAGUCUUGUAAUUGGAAUGAGUACAAUUUAAAUCCCUUAACGAGGAACAAUUGGAGGGCAAGUCUGGUGCCAGCAGCCGCGGUAAUUCCAGCUCCAAUAGCGUAUAUUAAAGUUGUUGCAGUUAAAAAGCUCGUAGUUGAACCUUGGGCCUGGCUGGCCGGUCCGCCUCACCGCGUGCACUGGGUCCGGCCGGGCCUUUCCUCCUGGGGAGCCGCAUGCCCUUCACUGGGUGUGUC